This 374-nucleotide ribosomal RNA is filed under the name uncultured prokaryote. RNAcentral's name for it is "bacterial SSU rRNA". It matches the Rfam family "Bacterial small subunit ribosomal RNA", at positions 524 to 896 of the family's 1533-position model. The record is from RNAcentral.
UACAGAGGUCCCAAGCGUUGUUCGGAUUCACUGGGCGUAAAGGGUGCGUAGGCGGUCAGGCAAGUCUGGUGUGAAAGCUUCGAGCUCAACUCGGAAAUUGCAUCGGAAACUGCUUGGCUAGAGGUGUGGAGGGGGGAUUGGAAUUCUCGGUGUAGCAGUGAAAUGCGUAGAUAUCGAGAGGAACACCCGUGGCGAAGGCAAAUCCCUGGACACAUCCUGACGCUGAGGCACGAAAGCUAGGGGAGCAAACAGGAUUAGAUACCCUGGUAGUCCUAGCCCUAAACGGUGCACGUUUGCUGUAAGAGGAAUCGACCCCUCUUGUGGCGAAGCUAACGCGUUAAACGUGCCGCCUGGGGAGUACGGCCGCAAGGUUA